UACGUAGGCGGAAAAUUAAGUCAGUAGUGAAAUCCUGCAGCUUAACUGUAGAACUGUUAUUGAUACUGGUUUUCUUGAAUAUAGUUGAGGUAAGCGGAAUGUGUAAUGUAGCGGUGAAAUGCUUAGAUAUUACACAGAACACCGAUUGCGAAGGCAGCUUACUAAGCUAUGAUUGACGCUAAGGUACGAAAGCGUGGGGAGCGAACAGGAUUAGAUACCCUGGUAGUCC
Molecule: ribosomal RNA, 229 nt
Filed under: uncultured bacterium
Lineage: Bacteria
Description: partial 16S ribosomal RNA
Rfam family: Bacterial small subunit ribosomal RNA
Source: RNAcentral